AUUGAACGCUGGCGGCAGGCCUAACACAUGCAAGUCGAGCGAGCGGCGGACGGGUGAGUAAUGUCUGGGAAACUGCCUGAUGGAGGGGGAUAACUACUGGAAACGGUAGCUAAUACCGCAUACCAUCAGAUGUGCCCAGGUGGGAUUAGCUAGUAGGUGGGGUAACGGCUCACCUAGGCGACGAUCCCUAGCUGGUCUGAGAGGAAGACCAGCCACGCUGGAACUGAGAAGGGGUCCAGACCCCUACGGGGAGGAGCAGGGGGGAAUAGUGAACAAUGGGCGAAAGCCUAAGGCAGCCAUGCCGGGUGUAUGAAGAGGGCGUUGGGUUUGUAAAGUACUUUCAGCGGGGAGACGUAACCCGCAGAAGAAGCACCGGCUAACUCCGGGCCAGCGGCGGCGUAAUUC
Molecule: ribosomal RNA, 405 nt
Filed under: uncultured bacterium
Lineage: Bacteria
Description: partial 16S ribosomal RNA
Rfam family: Bacterial small subunit ribosomal RNA
Source: RNAcentral